CUGAAAGCGCGGAGGGCAAGGAGUCGAGGCGACGGUAGCGAGGUCGCGGCGCGGGCCAGGCGCGGUGGCCGGCCACUGUUCCUCUCCGAAGGGUUGGCCUCCAGCCGCCAAUACUUCUGGCGAGGCGCUCCCCUGCACACACCCGGACCGGCUCCUCCCUCCGCGGGUUUCUCCUCCUUAAAGGCGCCGGGAAGCUCGGGGCGGUGCCGGUUCCCCGCCCGCCCCCUACCCCCCGACUACCCGCCCCCUGGGCCCCGGCGCACCUCCCCAGGUAGGAGCAGCUGUGGCGGCGCGGCGGGAACCACACGAUCGGAGCGCCGAAGGCGCUUGGAGAUCUCCCCGGCCGGUUCUCUCUGCGCACCGACGGGGAGAAAGAGGCCGAGAGAGGCAGGGACUGUCGGCGCGCAAACUCGGCGCUUCCGGACUUUACCAGCCUGUAUAGAAGGCUGGGACCCACAGGGAGACCUUGGGCCAGUCCCUUCCCACCCGCAAGCCCACAGUUUUCUUUUCUGAGAAUUGAAGGAGGAAAAGCACGUGCAGAUCUUGGAAGGAUAAGGAGGAAGGCUUUUAUCCUUAGGAUUUCGAGACUCGGUGCCGACAGCCAGAGGCUCCGGCCGAGAUGCAGCUUUCCGGCUGCGGAUGCAGGGUUGGGGGAACGAGCCGCGAGAGCACGGGCGGCCAGCUUUCAAGGGUUUUAGUCGCGUUCUUCGUGGCAACGAGCUCCGGGCAGACCCAGCCCCACCAAGCACUGGGCAACUGCCUUCGGAAGCAGGAGGCAGAGAGUCCAAGUCCUCGCUCCGCGGAUCCGGGUAUGGAAGCCAAUCGAACAAUUUACAUGAGGACCUUCCUCCGCGGAUGCACACUCGAACGACUGGAGAGGCUUUUCACUUGCUCAAAACACUCCCAGCUUCCUUCUUCCAAAGUAACCACGCUUCGAAAAUCCAGGUUCACUUUGCUUCCCAUCUCCUAGUCCUCUCCCUUGGGAACUGGCUUUUAGUCAAAUAUGGAAUUGAAAUAACAUAAGCAGACCAACAGCAAUGGAGGAAAAGAGUGUGCUCGUCACACCACACCAUAGCUCUGUUCAGCAUUUUAUCAAUGAUACAGAAGAAGCCAUAGAAGGGAAGCUGAUUGGGCUUGUGGGCUGACCACACUGAGGUGCUGAUGCUGGUAGCUGACAGAUGCAAGACUCAGAAUAAUCACCAGGUUGGGAGACUGAGCCAAAACCAACAAGAAGACAUUUAAAAAACUGUUAUGAAAACAUCAUAACAUUACAGAAGAUAAAGCUGGAAGGAAAAAGUCACCCACAUACCAAUUACCUAUCAUUCAUCUACUGAGGUUGUUUUCUAUGUUCUGUUUUUUUUUUCUCCUUUGUGUUCUUAUGCAUCUAUAUAUUUUUGCAUAGGUGUAACGAUAGAGUGUGUAUAAUUCUAUAGUCUAUACACAAUUCAUUUACAAUAUUUUGUAAACAUAACUGCAUGUUGCGCUUUACUUCCCAUCUUUCAUCUUUAGUUGGGAGUGACAUGGUCUUGUGCUGAUUUAACCCUUUUAUGGUAGAUAGGCAAUUAGGUAGUCGCCAAUAUCUCUGAUAUAGGCGAUGUGGCUAUGUGUUUGUAUAAACAACUUGGUGUUUACUUUGAACUGUCCUUAAGAUAAAUUCCUAAGAGUGAGAUUUAUGGAAUAAAGAAUAUUUUUGUGUUUUUUAAUAUAGUUCUACCAUGUUGUCUCCAGGACAUCUUGCAACUCACCACAAUCAAGAUAAUUAACAUGUGCAUCACCCCUAAACGUUUCCUUGUGCCCCAUGUGAUUGAUUCAUCCACCCCCCACCAUUAUCUGUAGGCAAUCACUGAUCUAUUUAUGUCACUACAGACUAGUUUGCAUUUUAUAGAACAUUAUAUAAAUGGAAUAACAGUGUAUUUUUUGUCUGUUUUCACUGAGCGUAAUUAUUUUGAUAUUCAUCUAUGUUAUUAUAAUAAUCAAAUCCUUUUUUUUGCUAGAUAAUAUUCCAUUACAUGGACAUACCACAGUUUGUUUAUCCAUUCACUUGUUGCUAGACAUUUGGGUUGUUUCCAAUUUUGGCUCUUUUAAACAAGCUGCUAUGAAUAGUUUUGUAUAAGUCUUUGUGUGGCUAAAUACCUUCAAUAAAUACGUAGGAGAAGAAUAUCUGGGUCAGAUGGUAGACAUCUAUCUACCAUCUGACCAAUUUCUUAAAUUUUUAAGAAAUUGCUAAACUUUUCACAAAGUGGCUGUAUUUCUUUUAUUUCUGUUAGCAGUAGGUGAGUUUGAAUUACUUCAUCUGUUCACCAAAACCUAUUCGUACAAUCUUUUAAAUUUUACCCCUUUUAGUAUAUAGUGGUAUCUCAUUAUAGCUUUAAUUUGCAUUUCCCUCAGGACUAAUGAUAUGUUUAUUAUCUAGUGCUGUGUAACAAAUUACCCCCAAAAUUAGUGGCGUAAAACAACAAAUAUUUAUUCUUUCACAGUUUCUAUGGAUCAGGAAUCUGGGUGUGGCUUAGCCAGGUGUAGUUAGCUGAACUGACCCAUCUUAAAAUGGGUCAAAGCUUUAGAUUUAAAGCUGCUUUGAAAUAGAGCUGGAUUUGAGGAAAUUGGGGAGAAGAAGAAAUGAAAGAACAAAGCGUUGGAAAAAUGGACAGAAUUGUCAUUUUUGACAAUUUGACAAAAUUGACAAUUUGUCAAUUUUGACAGUUCUGGGGGAAAAAAAAGAUUUGUCAAGCUGUAGUUUUCCUACUGGAGAGGAGUUUGAAUUUUCCUAAUGAUUCUGUGAAACGGAACAUUUGUUGAACAAUGUACCUGUAUCAGGCUUUGAUGUAGUUCAUUUAGUCAGUCCUCAGAACAGUCCCAUUUUACAGAUUUAGAAAUUGAAAUCUGGAAAGUUAAGUAAAACUCCACCAAGGCCAUAAAUCUAAGAAGGAUUUGAACCCCCGCUCUAUUUCCUAUUGAAGCCCAUAGACUUUCAUUGUGGUACCCUAGUCUGUUCACAUGCUAUUACAUUUUCAGCUCUGCCUCACAGUGUCCUUUGCCUCCAGGGCUCAGAAGACCUCUUGGAGUAAGUUCUAGUGGACAGUAAAAUAUGCAGGGCCUCUGAUCACUCAGUUUUAGCUAACAGCCUGGGUUCUCCUUAGAGACUGAGCUGUGUUGCAAAACCUCCCUGUAGCCUCUACUCUAAAAGGCCUGAGUGGCCUCUGUAAGGUUGACCUCCAACAGUGAAAGACAGUAAGUCUCUACUCCGGCUAUCUUCAUGAAUGAUAUCUGCCUUAUAAUGGAAGAGCCACCUGUGGCCCAGCUUGAGAUGUCUUCUGCCCAGGCAACACCUCCUAUUUCAAUGCCCCUAGAUGCAACAAAUUUUGGUUGUGAAACUGCUUCAAGUUUUAACUUCAAAUAGUGAGUGGGUGUAUGAUCAGGCCAUCCAGGAUGGCUGUUCUCUCUCUCUACCUCCCCUGCUCAAUCAGUCCCUGCCUCACCUAUGCUCUACUCAUCUGACUGACCUUCCCUCUUGAUCAUAGAACCUAAUCAGUAAAUGCCUAGGUACUUGCCCGCUGGCCCCAGCUAGUGAUUGUUCUAAACUUUAGAUCAGAAGGUCUCCAUUAGGACAGUUUAUCAAAGGGUAGUGAGGGGCACGUGCCUCUGAUCAUUUCCCUGGUAACCAAUGAACCAACCUGAUGUCAGUUCCCUCCAUAACUGGUAACCUCCCUCCCCCCACGGUAGCAAAGAUGGCUGCCUGUUGUCCGCAUCCACGAAGGAAUGUCAUUCCAGGACCAUUUUGUGAUGAGAUCUUCUGUCCAAUAAAGCAUUGUGUCUCUGUCUCUGAGCUCUUUCUUCUGUCUUGUGGCUGAGCAAGUAUAGGGCUUACAGGCCUGCAGGUGCAGCCCAACAGUGCGUUUGAGAAGGUUCUGUUUCCUCUCCAGGCUGCUUAUUUAGUCAUCGAACGGGAGGGGAAGAUUUGGUUGGCUUAAUCAAUAGUUGUUCUUACCCCAUGGAAGAGAAGAAUGCAAAGUAUGCUCCAGUCCACAAGAUUACUAGGCAUUGUCUAUUGAUUAAGUCAUUCAUAGGUCUUGCCUCUAUAUGUAUGACUAGUUUUUAAGUGUCUGUAAAGUUUUGUCUUAAAUAAAAUACAAAUCCAUUUAAAGAUGUUACUGAAAUGUUGGUAAUUUUUUGGACCUGAAAUUUAUCAAUCAAUGUUUACCAAAAAAUAUGUCUACCUUAUAUGUACAUAUGUCUACCUUAUAUGCAUUUUGUGAGAACUGUGGAAUUUAUAGCUGUUAAAAAGUAUUCUCACACUCAAAAUAAUUGAAAAGCACUAAAAGACUCCCUAUAGUCUCUCUAGCCAGAUGGAGUACUAGUAAACAUAUUUAACAAACAGUGUGUUGUUCAGUGGGUAUAAAAUUACAGUUAUACAAGGUGAAUCAGUUGUAGAGAUUUCCUGUAGGACAUAGUACCUAUAGUCGUGCACUUAAAAUUUUGUUAAAAGGGUAGAUUGCAUGCUAAAUUCUUAUCACACACACAGAAAUUAAGGGAUAUAAUGAAUCUUUCUGAGUUAACAGAUAUAUCUGUCACUUUGAAUAUAGCGAUAGUAUCACAGAUAUAUGCAUAUGUCCAAACUCAUCAAAAUAAUGCAUUAAACAUGCACAGGUUUUUGUGUACUUAUUG
Bos grunniens (domestic yak) is the source of this 4662-nucleotide long non-coding RNA. The record is from Ensembl. Lineage: Eukaryota; Metazoa; Chordata; Mammalia; Artiodactyla; Bovidae.